RNAcentral lists this ribosomal RNA (253 nucleotides) under uncultured bacterium. Its description in RNAcentral is "partial 16S ribosomal RNA". It matches the Rfam family "Bacterial small subunit ribosomal RNA", at positions 524 to 776 of the family's 1533-position model. The record is from RNAcentral.
UACGUAGGUGGCAAGCGUUAUCCGGAUUCACUGGGUUUAAAGGGUGCGUAGGCGGACAGGUAAGUCCGUGGUGAAAUCCUGCAGCUUAACUGCAGAACUGCCAUGGAUACUAUCUAUCUUGAAUGUCGUGGAGGUUAGCGGAAUAUGUCAUGUAGCGGUGAAAUGCUUAGAUAUGACAUAGAACACCCAUUGCGAAGGCAGCUAACUACGCGAUAAUUGACGCUGAUGCACGAAAGCGUGGGGAUCAAACAGG